RNAcentral lists this ribosomal RNA (468 nucleotides) under uncultured bacterium. RNAcentral's name for it is "partial 16S ribosomal RNA". It matches the Rfam family "Bacterial small subunit ribosomal RNA", at positions 28 to 507 of the family's 1533-position model. The record is from RNAcentral.
GACGAACGCUGGCGGCGUGCUUAACACAUGCAAGUCGAACGGAAAGGCCCUGCUUUUGUGGGGUGCUCGAGUGGCGAACGGGUGAGUAACACGUGAGUAACCUGCCCUUGACUUUGGGAUAACUUCAGGAAACUGGGGCUAAUACCGGAUAGGAGCUCCUGCUGCAUGGUGGGGGUUGGAAAGUUUCGGCGGUUGGGGAUGGACUCGCGGCUUAUCAGCUUGUUGGUGGGGUAGUGGCUUACCAAGGCUUUGACGGGUAGCCGGCCUGGGAGGGUGACCGGCCACAUUGGGACUGAGGUACGGCCCAGACUCCUACGGGAGGCAGCAGUGGGGAAUAUUGCACAAUGGGCGGAAGCCUGAUGCAGCAACGCCGCGUGCGGGAUGAUGGCCUUCGGGUUGUAAACCGCUUUCGCCUGUGACGAAGCGUGAGUGACGGUAAUGGGUAAAGAAGCACCGGCUAACUACGUG